CUUCCCAUAAAAGAUUAUUUAUUCAUCAAUCUAUAUAUACAAAAAAAGUUUUAAAACGUUUUUUAUGGAUAAUGCACAUCCAUUGACAUCACCUAUAGUUGUUCGUUCAUUUGAUACGAGAAAAGAUCCAAUUCGUUCACUUGAAGAUGGAAAAAAUAUUCUUGAUCCUAAAGUAUCAUAUUUAAGUGCAAUUGGAGCACUAACUUAUCUUGUAUACUACACUCAAUGCAAUAGAGCUUUCCUGUAUAGUACGACAUACACUUUGUAAAUGAAAUUCAUUGUUCAAUUCAAUCUUAAUCACAUUUCCUAGAUGUCAUUGUGCCUUUGUGAUAUUAUUUUAGGAAGGGAGGUUUUCAUGUACACAUGAACUAAGGUACAUUUUUUAUAUUUUAGUCAUAGAAAUUUAUAACUGUGAAACCACAUAGACUGAUCCGAAUAUGGGAUAUACAUAGAAUUAAAAUAAGCAUAUCCCGGAUGAAAUAAUGUAAAAUGCUCGUGGAUAGAUCAGCUUCAUAACCUCAUAGUUGAUGAAUGACCUAAAAUAGCAGUAACGAAAUGCAAAAAGAGGGAGUAAUGCUUUCUGUAGAAAAGAAUAUAUCUAUAGAAUGGAAGAUAUAUAUGUAACGCAUCCAAGUUAAGUCAAAUAAUUGAGAGGAGAUAUUAAUGUUUUAAACUAAUUUGAAUAACGAAGCAGCUUGUAGCAAGUUGGACAAUUACAACGAACAAUAGCAGCUGAAUUUUAAACCAAUUUGUACAUGCAAAAUAUAUUCUCCUUUCCACAAGUGAAUACAAAAUAGUCAAUAUAUGCAUUUUGUGUGUACAUGGCUACUGUAAGGUAAUCACGACACAAUACAAGCACGAAAGAGUUAAAUUAAAUGAUACCUAAAAAGGAAGAAAUAUAGAAAGAAGUCGAGACUCUGACAAAAGCAAAUGGAGAAAUCUUCGAAUGAUGAGAAAUCACAUAACAAAUAUCCAAUAGCAUGAUGUAUAAUCAUCUCAGAAAAAUUGAAACAAUUACCAAAAGUAUGUUAGACCUCUUGCGACACCUUCAAAAUCUAUAUCGAACAACAUAUGAUGCUUGGAGAAGGAAAAAGUUUUUGUGUCGAUGAGGCUUCUGCAACCAUAUGCCAUGAUGUUAUUCUAUAUAUCAUAGAAACAAAUUGGAAAUGAACUGCAAAGAAUAGUAAAAGAAUUGUUCCAAAUACCCGAUGAAGCCGAAGAGCUUAAAAGGAUAAAUUUUUUCACUAAAAGGCAUGUCUCUUUUGCUAAGUGAAAUUCCAAAUGGACAACGAUUUUGACAAAUCUGGAAAUGCUUGUGUUGCUAGAAAACCAAACAAAAAACCAUCAUGUGUAGGGUAUCUGUUCCAAGUAAAAUUUUGCAUCUAACAAUUUCAUUAGUGAAAUGGGUUUACUAUCAAUAGGAAUUGAAUCUUACUCACCUACUCAGACAUAUAUUGGUUUGAGAAGAUAACGCAAUGCAACCAUGUCUAACUUUAUAGGGUAUCAAUCAGAAAUCAAUAUUUUCCACAUGACAGGGCAUAAAAAAUAAUGCAAGGAUGCACGACCAAGAUUUAUAGUAACAGUAAUAUGGAGGAUGUUUAGAGCUUCCUUCUGCAUUUUCUGCAGAUUUCCCUUGGUCAGAUAAAUAUAAGAAUUUGUGGUAUCAUAUUAGCACGAGUAUAAAGUUCAGUAAUCAAAUAUUUUAAUAAAAAUAAACAUCCGUCGACCAGUUUUUUUGUUGCUGCUUCAAUUUGGUGAAAAUGAUCCUAAUUGAAUCCUAGAUGUCUAUAAAUUCAUCAUAAUAGAAACCUUGUAAAUCAUACAUCCAGUCGAACAUGAGUUAAUAUGACAAAUGUAGAAAAAUGUAAGCCAACUAAAUUAUACAAGCUAUUGAAAUCAAAUUUUCAAUUAAUGUGAAUCGGUAAAAAGAAGUCACUCGUCCAAUAAAGAAUAUCCUAAAUUUCCAUUUACAAAGUAAAGAAACUAGAUUGAGAGAGAUCUAUUCCAAUUUGGAAGGCAGAUAUAGGUUUUGGGUAGUAGUGGAUUACAAGUUACAGUUGAAUAUUUACACUGUCGCUUUGAGGACUAUAUAAUUUUUCAUUGUGCUUAACACAUUAAAACCUUAGAUAUUGGAAUCAAUUAAGCUUGUGCAUAAUUAAAUGGAGAAUAAUUUAUAGUAAGAAAAGGCAACAGAAGCAUAAAGAUAACAACAUACCUACAACUAAAACUGCAAGGAAGAAAGAGAAGAAAUUAUACAGCAGAGCAAAGAUUGAAGAAAAAAUGAAGCUUCUUAGCGAGAUAACAUGAAAUUUUGGAAGUUAAAAGUACAAACACCAACAGAAGUAUAAGGCAUUCCAACUGAGCUAAAAAAUCUCCUGAAAUACUAAUAAGAACCUGUUGUACUUCUAGUGUGAAAACACCAGAAGUAGAAACUGAGCAGAAAAACACACAUUGAGCAAAAAUAAAAGCUUCUGAAGUAAAUCAAGGUGAAUGUAGAAGAAAUCAACAAAAUUUUCACAUAUUAGAUAGAAAGAAGAUAAAAGGCGUUAAAUAAAGCUGAGGAAACUAACAAACAAAUCCCUAAAUAAGCAAAAAGUGUAGCAAAAUCUGAAUCUUCUCAACUAAGUCAAGCUAAACUGAAGAAAAACCAGCUGAAAAUAUGAACAACGAUACUGUAAAUCAAGAUACAAAAUUGGAAUAGAGUUGAACACCACAAAAAUCGACGAAAUAGAAAACAUUAAAUAUAACAUUUAGCUUCUGAAGUAGAUCAAAGUCACUCAAGAGUAAUCAAAUAUAUUUUUCACAUAUAAGACACCAAAGAAGAAAAAUAAAUUAAGUAAAAUUGAACAAAAGAUGAAAAAAUCCACAAAAAAGCAAAACUGUAACAAAAAAUUCGAAGUUUCUCAAGUAGAUCCAGCUAAACUAGGGAAAAAGCAACGAAAAACAAGUAGAUGACAUACCGUAGAACGAGAGACAGAGUCGAAGAGAGUCGAACGCAGGAGGAAAUGAUUGUGAAAGAGUCUAAAUGAUUUCUAUCGCGUGAUAUUUUUAUCAUGAAUACGGGUCGUUUCCACAAUAGACAUGAACAAUAUGAAACCAAAUACGUAGUAGUAGCCGAACUGGUUCCAGUGUGAAAU
Molecule: long non-coding RNA, 3137 nt
Filed under: Olea europaea subsp. europaea
Lineage: Eukaryota; Viridiplantae; Streptophyta; Magnoliopsida; Lamiales; Oleaceae
Source: RNAcentral